Molecule: transfer RNA, 70 nt
Filed under: Scaphiophryne gottlebei
Lineage: Eukaryota; Metazoa; Chordata; Amphibia; Anura; Microhylidae
Description: partial tRNA-Val
Rfam family: tRNA
About the family: Transfer RNA (tRNA) molecules are approximately 80 nucleotides in length. Their secondary structure includes four short double-helical elements and three loops (D, anti-codon, and T loops). Further hydrogen bonds mediate the characteristic L-shaped molecular structure. tRNAs have two regions of fundamental functional importance: the anti-codon, which is responsible for specific mRNA codon recognition, and the 3' end, to which the tRNAs corresponding amino acid is attached (by aminoacyl-tRNA synthetases). tRNAs cope with the degeneracy of the genetic code in two manners: having more than one tRNA (with a specific anti-codon) for a particular amino acid; and 'wobble' base-pairing, i.e. permitting non-standard base-pairing at the 3rd anti-codon position.
Source: RNAcentral
CAAAAUGUAGCUUAACCCAAAACAUCUCGCUUACACCGAGAACAUGUCUGUGAAACUCAGACCAUUUUGA